RNAcentral lists this ribosomal RNA (550 nucleotides) under uncultured bacterium. RNAcentral's name for it is "bacterial SSU rRNA". It matches the Rfam family "Bacterial small subunit ribosomal RNA", at positions 355 to 896 of the family's 1533-position model. The record is from RNAcentral.
UAGGGAAUCUUCCGCAAUGGACGGAAGUCUGACCGAGCAACGCCGCGUGAGUGAAGAAGGUUUUCGGAUCGUAAAGCUCUGUUGUAAGAGAAGAACGAGUGUGAGAGUGGAAAGUUCACACUGUGACGGUAUCUUACCAGAAAGGGACGGCUAACUACGUGCCAGCAGCCGCGGUAAUACGUAGGUCCCGAACGUUGUCCGGAUUUAUUGGGCGUAAAGCGAGCGCAGGCGGUUAGAUAAGUCUGAAGUUAAAGGCUGUGGCUUAACCAUAGUAGGCUUUGGAAACUGUUUAACUUGAGUGCAAGAGGGGAGAGUGGAAUUCCAUGUGUAGCGGUGAAAUGCGUAGAUAUAUGGAGGAACACCGGUGGCGAAAGCGGCUCUCUGGCUUGUAACUGACGCUGAGGCUCGAAAGCGUGGGGAGCAAACAGGAUUAGAUACCCUGGUAGUCCACGCUGUAAACGAUGAGUGCUAGGUGUUAGACCCUUUCCGGGGUUUAGUGCCGUAGCUAACGCAUUAAGCACUCCGCCUGGGGAGUACGACCGCAAGGUUG